This 83-nucleotide transfer RNA is filed under the name Ignavigranum ruoffiae. It matches the Rfam family "tRNA". From Rfam's summary of the family: Transfer RNA (tRNA) molecules are approximately 80 nucleotides in length. Their secondary structure includes four short double-helical elements and three loops (D, anti-codon, and T loops). Further hydrogen bonds mediate the characteristic L-shaped molecular structure. tRNAs have two regions of fundamental functional importance: the anti-codon, which is responsible for specific mRNA codon recognition, and the 3' end, to which the tRNAs corresponding amino acid is attached (by aminoacyl-tRNA synthetases). tRNAs cope with the degeneracy of the genetic code in two manners: having more than one tRNA (with a specific anti-codon) for a particular amino acid; and 'wobble' base-pairing, i.e. permitting non-standard base-pairing at the 3rd anti-codon position. Lineage: Bacteria; Bacillati; Bacillota; Bacilli; Lactobacillales; Aerococcaceae. The record is from Rfam by way of RNAcentral.
GCGGACAUGGCGGAAUGGCAGACGCGCUAUCUUGAGGGGGUAGUGAGUGGAUACUCGUGUGGGUUCAAAUCCCAUUGUCCGCA